GAUGAACGCUGGCGGCGUGCCUAAUACAUGCAAGUCGAGCGAACGGACGAGAAGCUUGCUUCUCUGAUGUUAGCGGCGGACGGGUGAGUAACACGUGGAUAACCUACCUAUAAGACUGGUAUAACUUCGGGAAACCGGAGCUAAUACCGGAUAAUAUUUUGAACCGCAUGGUUCAAAAGUGAAAGACGGUCUUGCUGUCACUUAUAGAUGGAUCCGCGCUGCAUUAGCUAGUUGGUAAGGUAACGGCUUACCAAGGCAACGAUGCAUAGCCGACCUGAGAGGGUGAUCGGCCACACUGGAACUGAGACACGGUCCAGACUCCUACGGGAGGCAGCAGUAGGGAAUCUUCCGCAAUGGGCGAAAGCCUGACGGAGCAACGCCGCGUGAGUGAUGAAGGUCUUCGGAUCGUAAAACUCUGUUAUUAGGGAAGAACAUAUGUGUAAGUAACUGUGCACAUCUUGACGGUACCUAAUCAGAAAGCCACGGCUAACUACGUGCCAGCAGCCGCGGUAAUACGUAGGUGGCAAGCGUUAUCCGGAAUUAUUGGGCGUAAAGCGCGCGUAGGCGGUUUUUUAAGUCUGAUGUGAAAGCCCACGGCUCAACCGUGGAGGGUCAUUGGAAACUGGAAAACUUGAGUGCAGAAGAGGAAAGUGGAAUUCCAUGUGUAGCGGUGAAAUGCGCAGAGAUAUGGAGGAACACCAGUGGCGAAGGCGACUUUCUGGUCUGUAACUGACGCUGAUGUGCGAAAGCGUGGGGAUCAAACAGGAUUAGAUACCCUGGUAGUCCACGCCGUAAACGAUGAGUGCUAAGUGUUAGGGGGUUUCCGCCCCUUAGUGCUGCAGCUAACGCAUUAAGCACUCCGCCUGGGGAGUACGACCGCAAGGUUGAAACUCAAAGGAAUUGACGGGGACCCGCACAAGCGGUGGAGCAUGUGGUUUAAUUCGAAGCAACGCGAAGAACCUUACCAAAUCUUGACAUCCUUUGACAACUCUAGAGAUAGAGCCUUCCCCUUCGGGGGGGCAAAGUGACAGGUGGUGCAUGGUUGUCGUCAGCUCGUGUCGUGAGAUGUUGAGUUAAGUCCCGCAACGAGCGCAACCCUUAAGCUUAGUUGCCAUCAUUAAGUUGGGCACUCUAAGUUGACUGCCGGUGACAAACCGGAGGAAGGUGGGGAUGACGUCAAAUCAUCAUGCCCCUUAUGAUUUGGGCUACACACGUGCUACAAUGGACAAUACAAAGGGCAGCGAAACCGCGAGGUCAAGCAAAUCCCAUAAAGUUGUUCUCAGUUCGGAUUGUAGUCUGCAACUCGACUACAUGAAGCUGGAAUCGCUAGUAAUCGUAGAUCAGCAUGCUACGGUGAAUACGUUCCCGGGUCU
Molecule: ribosomal RNA, 1373 nt
Filed under: uncultured bacterium
Lineage: Bacteria
Description: bacterial SSU rRNA
Rfam family: Bacterial small subunit ribosomal RNA
Source: RNAcentral